AUGGGGGGACCAUCCUCCAAGGCUAAAUACUCAUCAUCGACCGAUAGUGAACCAGUACCGUGAGGGAAAGGCGAAAAGAACCCCGGGAGGGGAGUGAAAUAGAACCUGAAACCUGAUGCAUACAUACAGUGGGAGCCUAUUAAAGGGGUGACUGCGUACCUUUUGUAUAAUGGGUCAACGACUUACAUUCAGUAGCGAGCUUAACCGGAUAGGGGAGGCGUAGGGAAACCGAGUCUUAAUAGGGCGAAUGAGUUGCUGGGUGUAGACCCGAAACCGAGUGAUCUAUCCAUGGCCAGGAUGAAGGUGCCGUAACAGGUACUGGAGGUCCGAACCCACGCAUGUUGCAAAAUGCGGGGAUGAGCUGUGGAUAGGGGUGAAAGGCUAAACAAACUCGGAGAUAGCUGGUUCUCCCCGAAAACUAUUUAGGUAGUGCCUCGAGUAUGAGACUGAUGGGGGUAAAGCACUGUUAUGGCUAGGGGGUUAUUGCAACUUACCAACCCAUGGCAAACUAAGAAUACCAUCAAGUUGCUCCUCGGGAGACAGACAUCGGGUGCUAACGUCCGGUGUCAAGAGGGAAACAACCCAGACCGCCAGCUAAGGUCCCAAAUGACAGAUUAAGUGGUAAACGAAGUGGGAAGGCACAGACAGCCAGGAUGUUGGCUUAGAAGCAGCCAUCAUUUAAAGAAAGCGUAAUAGCUCACUGGUCGAGUCGUCCUGCGCGGAAGAUGUAACGGGGCUCAAAUCUAUAACCGAAGCUGCGGAUGCUAGCUUGCUAGCAUGGUAGGGGAGCGUUCUGUAGGCCGAUGAAGGUGCAUUGUAAAGUGUGCUGGAGGUAUCAGAAGUGCGAAUGUUGACAUGAGUAGCGAUAAAGCGGGUGAAAAGCCCGCUCGCCGAAAGCCCAAGGUUUCCUACGCAACGUUCAUCGGCGUAGGGUGAGUCGGCCCCUAAGGCGAGGCAGAGAUGCGUAGUCGAUGGGAAACGGGUUAAUAUUCCCGUACUUGAUUCAAAUGCGAUGUGGGGACGGAGAAGGUUAUGCUGGCAAUCUGUUGGAAUAGAUUGUUUAAGCCGGUAGGUAGAAGGAGUAGGCAAAUCCGCUUCUUUAAUAUCGAGACGUGAUGACGAGUGUCUACGGACAUGAAGCAGCAAAUACCACGCUUCCAGGAAAAGCCACUAAGCUUCAGUUUGAAUUGAACCGUACCGCAAACCGACACAGGUGGGCAGGAUGAGAAUUCUAAGGCGCUUGAGAGAACUCGGGAGAAGGAACUCGGCAAAUUGAUACCGUAACUUCGGGAGAAGGUAUGCCCUCUAAUGUAAAGGACUUGCUCCGGAAGCAUCUGAGGGUCGCAGAGAAUCGGUGGCUGCGACUGUUUAUUAAAAACACAGCACUCUGCUAACACGAAAGUGGACGUAUAGAGUGUGACGCCUGCCCGGUGCUGGAAGGUUAAUUGAAGAUGUGAGAGCAUCGGAUCGAAGCCCCAGUAAACGGCGGCCGUAACUAUAACGGUCCUAAGGUAGCGAAAUUCCUUGUCGGGUAAGUUCCGACCCGCACGAAUGGCGUAACGAUGGCCACACUGUCUCCUCCCGAGACUCAGCGAAGUUGAAAUGGUUGUGAAGAUGCAAUCUCCCCGCUGCUAGACGGAAAGACCCCGUGAACCUUUACUGUAGCUUUGCAUUGGACUUUGAAGUCACUUGUGUAGGAUAGGUGGGAGGCUUAGAAGCAGAAACGCCAGUUUCUGUGGAGCCGUCCUUGAAAUACCACCCUGGUGGCUUUGAGGUUCUAACCCAGACCCGUAAUCCGGGUCGGGGACCGUGCAUGGUAGGCAGUUUGACUGGGGCGGUCUCCUCCCAAAGAGUAACGGAGGAGUUCGAAGGUUACCUAGGUCCGGUCGGAAAUCGGACUGAUAGUGCAAUGGCAAAAGGUAGCUUAACUGCGAGACCGACAAGUCGAGCAGGUGCGAAAGCAGGACAUAGUGAUCCGGUGGUUCUGAAUGGAAGGGCCAUCGCUCAACGGAUAAAAGGUACUCCGGGGAUAACAGGCUGAUUCCGCCCAAGAGUCCAUAUCGACGGCGGAGUUUGGCACCUCGAUGUCGGCUCAUCACAUCCUGGGGCUGUAGUCGGUCCCAAGGGUAUGGCUGUUCGCCAUUUAAAGUGGUACGUGAGCUGGGUUUAAAACGUCGUGAGACAGUUUGGUCCCUAUCUGCAGUGGGCGUUGGAAGUUUGACGGGGGCUGCUCCUAGUACGAGAGGACCGGAGUGGACGAACCUCUGGUGUACCGGUUGUGACGCCAGUCGCAUCGCCGGGUAGCUAAGUUCGGAAGAGAUAAGCGCUGAAAGCAUCUAAGCGCGAAACUCGCCUGAAGAUGAGACUUCCCUGAGGAUUUAAUCCUCCUAAAGAGUCGUUCGAGACCAGGACGUUGA
Molecule: ribosomal RNA, 2417 nt
Filed under: human metagenome
Description: bacterial LSU rRNA
Rfam family: Bacterial large subunit ribosomal RNA
Source: RNAcentral